Molecule: transfer RNA, 69 nt
Filed under: Neobythites unimaculatus
Lineage: Eukaryota; Metazoa; Chordata; Actinopteri; Ophidiiformes; Ophidiidae
Description: tRNA-Ile
Rfam family: tRNA
About the family: Transfer RNA (tRNA) molecules are approximately 80 nucleotides in length. Their secondary structure includes four short double-helical elements and three loops (D, anti-codon, and T loops).
Source: RNAcentral
GGAGCUGUGCCUGAAUAUAGGACCACUUUGAUAGAGUGUACCACGGGGGUUAAAAUCCCCCCAUCUCCU